AGUGAACGCUGGCGGUAGGCCUAACACAUGCAAGUCGAACGGCAGCACAGUAAGAGCUUGCUCUUACGGGUGGCGAGUGGCGGACGGGUGAGGAAUACAUCGGAAUCUACUUUUUCGUGGGGGAUAACGUAGGGAAACUUACGCUAAUACCGCAUACGAUCUACGGGUGAAAGCAGGGGAUCUUCGGACCUUGCGCGAUUGAAUGAGCCGAUGUCGGAUUAGCUAGUUGGCGGGGUAAAGGCCCACCAAGGCGACGAUCCGUAGCUGGUCUGAGAGGAUGGUCAGCCACACUGGAACUGAGACACGGUCCAGACUCCUACGGGAGGCAGCAGUGGGGAAUAUUGGACAAUGGGCGCAAGCCUGAUCCAGCCAUACCGCGUGGGUGAAGAAGGCCUUCGGGUUGUAAAGCCCUUUUGUUGGGAAAGAAAAGCAGCAGGUUAAUACCCCGCUGUUCUGACGGUACCCAAAGAAUAAGCACCGGCUAACUUCGUG
Molecule: ribosomal RNA, 492 nt
Filed under: uncultured bacterium
Lineage: Bacteria
Description: partial 16S ribosomal RNA
Rfam family: Bacterial small subunit ribosomal RNA
Source: RNAcentral